Molecule: ribosomal RNA, 465 nt
Filed under: uncultured bacterium
Lineage: Bacteria
Description: partial 16S ribosomal RNA
Rfam family: Bacterial small subunit ribosomal RNA
Source: RNAcentral
GACGAACGCUGGCGGCGUGCUUAACACAUGCAAGUCGUACGGUAAGGCCCUUUCGGGGGUACACGAGUGGCGAACGGGUGAGUAACACGUGAGUAACCUGCCCACAACUUUGGGAUAACGCUAGGAAACUGGUGCUAAUACUGGAUAUGUGCUCCUGCUGCAUGGUGGGGGUUGGAAAGCUCCGGCGGUUGUUGAUGGACUCGCGGCCUAUCAGCUUGUUGGUGGGGUAGUGGCCUACCAAGGCGGCGGCGGGUAGCCGGCCUGAGAGGGUGACCGGCCACAUUGGGACUGAGAUACGGCCCAGACUCCUACGGGAGGCAGCAGUGGGGAAUAUUGCACAAUGGGCGCAAGCCUGAUGCAGCAACGCCGCGUGCGGGAUGACGGCCUUCGGGUUGUAAACCGCUUUCAGCAGGGACGAAGCUUUUUGUGACGGUACCUGCAGAAGAAGCACCGGCUAACUACGUG